GUUGAAGUUUCAGAUUUAUGGGUUUAACCUAAGGUUUGUUUUUAAGGAAAAUUUCUGCUGUGUUCCAACCCUAAAUCCUUCGGAUUUCUCUAUCUCUUCUUGUUGCUGUGUACUUCCGUGGCUUCAAAAGAGACCCAAACAGGAGUUUAUUUUCAAGUUCGAAGGAACUCACUAGUAAAGCUCCCAGGUAAUAAUGAUGAAAAGGCUGGGGAGCAAGGCAUUACUGUAGAGGGAGAGGCAGACGCUUAGGACCUUCCCUAACGAGGAUAGUUAUGUUACAAAUGAUGGGUUAUGUUAUGUAUAGAUAUUUUAUUUUGGGAUGGACUCUGAGAGUCUCUUAAGAAUGAAUGUUCGAAUA
Molecule: long non-coding RNA, 358 nt
Organism: Juglans microcarpa x Juglans regia
Lineage: Eukaryota; Viridiplantae; Streptophyta; Magnoliopsida; Fagales; Juglandaceae
Exons: 3
Source: RefSeq, a predicted model, not a curated record